CUCUUCGGAGGGCUGUAUUUAUUAGAUAACAGACCAAUAUUCCUCGUGUCUAUUGUGGUGAAUCAUAGUAACUUUUCGGAUCGCAUGGGCUUGUCCCGCGACAAACCAUUCAAGUUUCUGCCCCAUCAGCUUUCGAUGGUAGUGUAUUGGACUACCAUGGCUUUUACGGGUAACGGGGGAUUAGGGUUCGAUUCCGGAGAGGGAGCCUGAGAAACGGCUACCACAUCUAAGGAAGGCAGCAGGCGCGUAAAUUACCCAAUCCUAAUUCAGGGAGGUAGUG
RNAcentral lists this ribosomal RNA (280 nucleotides) under uncultured eukaryote. RNAcentral describes it as "partial small subunit ribosomal RNA". It matches the Rfam family "Eukaryotic small subunit ribosomal RNA", at positions 189 to 469 of the family's 1831-position model. The record is from RNAcentral.